RNAcentral lists this ribosomal RNA (253 nucleotides) under uncultured bacterium. RNAcentral's name for it is "partial 16S ribosomal RNA". It matches the Rfam family "Bacterial small subunit ribosomal RNA", at positions 524 to 776 of the family's 1533-position model. The record is from RNAcentral.
UACGUAGGGUGCAAGCGUUAUCCGGAAUUAUUGGGCGUAAAGAGCUCGUAGGCGGUUUGUCGCGUCUGCUGUGAAAACCCGAGGCUCAACCCCGGGCCUGCAUUCGAUACGGGCAGACUAGAGUUCGGUAGGGGAGUCUGGAAUUCCUGGUGUAGCGGUGAAAUGCGCAGAUAUCAGGAGGAACACCGGUGGCGAAGGCGGGUCUCUGGGCAGUAACUGACGCUGAGGAGCGAAAGCGUGGGGAGCGAACAGG